Molecule: long non-coding RNA, 2276 nt
Filed under: Haliotis rubra (blacklip abalone)
Lineage: Eukaryota; Metazoa; Mollusca; Gastropoda; Lepetellida; Haliotidae
Description: uncharacterized LOC124266876
Source: RNAcentral
ACCCCCAAAGUACUAGAAUUUGUACUUUACUAACAAAGUGUAAUCCCAAAUAUAACAUAUGUUGCUUUUUAUUGAGAUUGAGAGAAGUUUGAGGAAGCAGAGAGUCUACAGAGACAGGACGAGUCAACUGGACACGCUGAAUGAUUUCGAACUGAUUUCUCGCUACCGUUUGUCACGUGAAGCUAUUAUAGCUCUUGUAGAAGAAGUUGAGCCAAUAAUCGGAAGGAGUACACAGCGUUCACACGCCAUUUCUGUAGAGUCACAGGUGCCUUGACUUUACGCUAUCUCGGCAAAGGUGGCUUCCUGUCCGAGAUCGGGGACCUCCACGGCCUUGACAAGUCAACCGUUUCGAGAUCCCAGCACAGCACAGCCAGUGCUUUUUGCACGGUGCUAAAUAAUAUUCAUUUUCCAUGGGGACCACAAGAACAGAUAGCAGUUAAAGAGGGCUUCUACAAACUAUCCUGGUUCCCCAAAGUUCUUGGAGCGGUUGACGGGACCUUGAUCCCAAUAAAAAAGACCCCCUAUCGCCGAGGAAGCAGCGUUCGUUUGCUGGAAGGGCUACCACGCCGUGAAUGUUCAGGCUAUUUGUGACAGCUCUCUUCGCUUCACAAAUGUAGUAGUCAAGUGGCUGGGGUCAACCCACGAAUCACUCAUUUGGAGCAACUGCAGCAUUGCCACUAAGAUGGUACAGCAGGCACCGGAUGGGUGGCUCCCUGGUGAUUCUGGAUAUGCAUGUCGACCAUGUCUUCUAACACCCUUUACUGAGCCGCAGACACGCCCCCAAGAGAGGUACAACUCUGCCCACACUAGAACAAGAAACACCAUUGAUCGUGCGUUUGGUGUUUUAAAGGCAAGGUUUAGGUGUUUGCACAAGUCCUCUGGAUGUCUGUGGUUCAGCCCAGACAGGUGCUCUGUGGUAAUUAUGGCAUGCUUUAAGCUCCAUAAUUACUGCAUCACCAAGGGAGUGCAGGUACCACUGGGAGAUGUACUGGAAGAGGCAGAGGCGGAGACCAACACCCCACCCGCUCCCAGGCAGUGUGUAGAUGGCAACACCGCUAGGCAGAACCUUGUCAACGAAAGAUUUUCAUGAAAUGGCCAGCCUGUCAGUCUCCACCUGAAGUCGCUGUUCCGAGACAGCCAGGAUUUUUCUUUGUACUUCAAGGAGGACCUUCAGUAUUCCAGUCCUUUCCUUUUCACUAGCAAGGAUGGCAGUCACGCCUGGCUGAGCUUCCCUUUCUGUAGAAAAGUUGUUUGGGGCCUUUCACUAUCAGGUUGUUCAGCUGCCUGCUCUGUUGAUGGCUGUGAUGUGGAGGGUACUAGGGCAAGCUCUGAUGUAGCAAUUGAUGGAUGGCUGCUGUACUGUUGUUGAUGGUACAAACGCACUUGAUACCACAGGGAGGCUGGUCAAUGUAAGACAGACCAACUGGUGCUGGACCCCCGCCUGUCUUGCAGCUCUCACGCCGCACAUCAAUGGCCUUCUUCACCUGGGAUCUGGAAAAUGCCAUCAUUUAUACUAUAAUGCAAAUACAGCAUAAAAUUAGUUAUCAAUUUGUUUUCAAGUGUUCUAGUAAAUUGCAUUUAUAUCAGUUUUCAUGUAAUUUACACAACUUUUAUUGCUGUGAUAGGUUGCAACAUUUUUAUUAAGGUUAUACCUCAUUAUGUAAAUAUUUCUGAACAUUAAUGAAAACUUUAUUUCAAAAAGAAUUAUAAAAGAGGUGCUAAUUGUAUAUAAAGGAAUAUAUGGCAAUGUGUUACUGUGUGUAACAACGAUAUUCUAUGUGUUAAAUCUAAUACUGAUUUAUUGUUAAAAUAUAUAUUUCAAUCAUUUGGGAAACAACAAAAUGAGUGUUUUGUCAUUUAUCAUUGUUGGUGAUGAUCAGGAUAAUUUGCCACCUACAGUUGAAAUCAAAAUUAUUCAACCCCCUACUUCAAAGUCAGAAUAAUUUUGAAACUGUUAAAAUCAAUGAAAGCAUGACAUUUUAUUUAAUUUACAAUUUUCCUUUGUGUUUGUUUGUUAAAAAUACUUAAACCAUACUUGUGUCACUAUAUCAUCACAGACAAUAAGUACUGUCUCUGCAAUAAAUGUGAUUGCAUGUUUUGGCCAUGAGGGUUGAAUAAUUCUGACUCCAACUGUACAGUAAUAGGAUAAAAAAAAUAAAAAUUCAUAUCAAUAACAACCAUUUUCAGGGUAAACCAUACACAUGAUUAUAUUGAAAUCUUGAUGUGUCUGUAUAUUUCGAGUAUGGUUUAAAUUGUUGAUAAUUACUUAGCCAGUA